UACGGGGGGGGUAAGCGUUGUUCGGAAUUACUGGGCGUAAAGGGCGCGUAGGCGGCCUACUAAGUCAGACGUGAAAUCCCCCGGCUUAACCUGGGAACUGCGUCUGAUACUGGAAGGCUUGAGUAUGGGAGAGGGAUGUAGAAUUCCAGGUGUAGCGGUGAAAUGCGUAGAUAUCUGGAGGAAUACCGGUGGCGAAGGCGGCAUCCUGGACCAUUACUGACGCUGAGGCGCGAAAGCUAGGGGAGCAAACGGG
Molecule: ribosomal RNA, 253 nt
Filed under: uncultured bacterium
Lineage: Bacteria
Description: partial 16S ribosomal RNA
Rfam family: Bacterial small subunit ribosomal RNA
Source: RNAcentral